RNAcentral lists this ribosomal RNA (305 nucleotides) under uncultured bacterium. RNAcentral's name for it is "bacterial SSU rRNA". It matches the Rfam family "Bacterial small subunit ribosomal RNA", at positions 333 to 635 of the family's 1533-position model. The record is from RNAcentral.
AUGACCCUACGGGGGGCAGCAGUGAGGAAUAUUGGUCAAUGGGCGAGAGCCUGAACCAGCCAAGUCGCGUGAAGGAUGACGGCCCUACGGGUUGUAAACUUCUUUUGUCAGGGAGCAAUUGGGUCCACGCGUGGGCUUAGCGAGAGUACCUGAAGAAAAAGCAUCGGCUAACUCCGUGCCAGCAGCCGCGGUAAUACGGAGGAUGCGAGCGUUAUCCGGAUUUAUUGGGUUUAAAGGGUGCGCAGGCGGCCUGUUAAGUCAGCGGUAAAAGCCCGGGGCUCAACCCCGGCGAGCCGUUGAAACUG